GCUCAACCGGGGAGGGUCAUUGGAAACUGGGAAACUUGAGUGCAGAAGAGGAGAGUGGAAUUCCACGUGUAGCGGUGAAAUGCGUAGAGAUGUGGAGGAACACCAGUGGCGAAGGCGACUCUCUGGUCUGUAACUGACGCUGAGGAGCGAAAGCGUGGGGAGCGAACAGGAUUAGAUACCCUGGUAGUCCACGCCGUAAACGAUGAGUGCUAAGUGUUAGGGGGUUUCCGCCCCUUAGUGCUGCAGCUAACGCAUUAAGCACUCCGCCUGGGGAGUACGGUCGCAAGACUGAAACUCAAAGGAAUUGACGGGGGCCCGCACAAGCGGUGGAGCAUGUGGUUUAAUUCGAAGCAACGCGAAGAACCUUACCAGGUCUUGACAUCCUCUGACAACCCUAGAGAUAGGGCUUUCCCUUCGGGGACAGAGUGACAGGUGGUGCAUGGUUGUCGUCAGCUCGUGUCGUGAGAUGUUGGGUUAAGUCCCGCAACGAGCGCAACCCUUGAUCUUAGUUGCCAGCAUUUAGUUGGGCACUCUAAGGUGACUGCCGGUGACAAACCGGAGGAAGGUGGGGAUGACGUCAAAUCAUCAUGCCCCUUAUGACCUGCGCUACACACGUGCUACAAUGGACAGAACAAAG
Molecule: ribosomal RNA, 637 nt
Filed under: uncultured bacterium
Lineage: Bacteria
Description: bacterial SSU rRNA
Rfam family: Bacterial small subunit ribosomal RNA
Source: RNAcentral